Molecule: ribosomal RNA, 803 nt
Filed under: uncultured bacterium
Lineage: Bacteria
Description: bacterial SSU rRNA
Rfam family: Bacterial small subunit ribosomal RNA
Source: RNAcentral
AGAGUUUGAUCAUGGCUCAGGACGAACGCUGGCGGCGUGCCUAACACAUGCAAGUCGUACGGGAUUUGGGGGCAACUCCAAGUUCAGUGGCAGACGGGUGCGUAACACGUGAAGAACUUGUCCGGUGGCGGGGGAUAGCCGGCCCAACGGCCGGGUAAUACCGCAUACGCUCGUGUGGGGGCAUCCCUGUACGAGGAAAGCAGCCGCAAGGUUGCGCCGACGGAGAGCUUCGCGGCCUAUCAGCUUGUUGGCGGGGUAAUGGCCCACCAAGGCUACGACGGGUAGCUGGUCUGAGAGGAUGAUCAGCCACAUUGGGACUGAGACACGGCCCAGACUCCUACGGGAGGCAGCAGUGGGGAAUAUUGCGCAAUGGCCGCAAGGCUGACGCAGCGACGCCGCGUGUGGGAUGACGGUCUUCGGAUUGUAAACCACUGUCAGGGGGAACGAAUACGGGACGUCGAAUAGGCGAUCCUGGGUGACGGUACCUCCAAAGGAAGCACCGGCUAACUCCGUGCCAGCAGCCGCGGUAAUACGGAGGGUGCGAGCGUUGUCCGGAAUCACUGGGCGUAAAGGGCGCGUAGGUGGUUCGAUAAGUCGCUGGUGAAAUUCCGGGGCUCAACUCCGGAGCUGCCGGCGAGACUGUCGGACUUGAGCACGGUAGGGGCAGAUGGAAUUCCCGGUGUAGCGGUGGAAUGCGUAGAUAUCGGGAAGAAUACCAGUGGCGAAGGCGUUCUGCUGGGCCGUUGCUGACACUGAGGCGCGACAGCGUGGGGAGCAAACAGGAUUAGAUACCCCAGUAGUCC